Molecule: ribosomal RNA, 2930 nt
Filed under: Escherichia coli
Lineage: Bacteria; Pseudomonadati; Pseudomonadota; Gammaproteobacteria; Enterobacterales; Enterobacteriaceae
Description: 23S ribosomal RNA
Rfam family: Bacterial large subunit ribosomal RNA
Source: RNAcentral
GGGUUGUGAGGUUAAGCGACUAAGCGUACACGGUGGAUGCCCUGGCAGUCAGAGGCGAUGAAGGACGUGCUAAUCUGCGAUAAGCGUCGGUAAGGUGAUAUGAACCGUUAUAACCGGCGAUUUCCGAAUGGGGAAACCCAGUGUGAUUCGUCACACUAUCAUUAACUGAAUCCAUAGGUUAAUGAGGCGAACCGGGGGAACUGAAACAUCUAAGUACCCCGAGGAAAAGAAAUCAACCGAGAUUCCCCCAGUAGCGGCGAGCGAACGGGGAGCAGCCCAGAGCCUGAAUCAGUGUGUGUGUUAGUGGAAGCGUCUGGAAAGGCGUGCGAUACAGGGUGACAGCCCCGUACACAAAAAUGCACAUGCUGUGAGCUCGAUGAGUAGGGCGGGACACGUGGUAUCCUGUCUGAAUAUGGGGGGACCAUCCUCCAAGGCUAAAUACUCCUGACUGACCGAUAGUGAACCAGUACCGUGAGGGAAAGGCGAAAAGAACCCCGGCGAGGGGAGUGAAAAAGAACCUGAAACCGUGUACGUACAAGCAGUGGGAGCACGCUUAGGCGUGUGACUGCGUACCUUUUGUAUAAUGGGUCAGCGACUUAUAUUCUGUAGCAAGGUUAACCGAAUAGGGGAGCCGAAGGGAAACCGAGUCUUAACUGGGCGUUAAGUUGCAGGGUAUAGACCCGAAACCCGGUGAUCUAGCCAUGGGCAGGUUGAAGGUUGGGUAACACUAACUGGAGGACCGAACCGACUAAUGUUGAAAAAUUAGCGGAUGACUUGUGGCUGGGGGUGAAAGGCCAAUCAAACCGGGAGAUAGCUGGUUCUCCCCGAAAGCUAUUUAGGUAGCGCCUCGUGAAUUCAUCUCCGGGGGUAGAGCACUGUUUCGGCAAGGGGGUCAUCCCGACUUACCAACCCGAUGCAAACUGCGAAUACCGGAGAAUGUUAUCACGGGAGACACACGGCGGGUGCUAACGUCCGUCGUGAAGAGGGAAACAACCCAGACCGCCAGCUAAGGUCCCAAAGUCAUGGUUAAGUGGGAAACGAUGUGGGAAGGCCCAGACAGCCAGGAUGUUGGCUUAGAAGCAGCCAUCAUUUAAAGAAAGCGUAAUAGCUCACUGGUCGAGUCGGCCUGCGCGGAAGAUGUAACGGGGCUAAACCAUGCACCGAAGCUGCGGCAGCGACGCUGAUGCGUUGUUGGGUAGGGGAGCGUUCUGUAAGCCUGCGAAGGUGUGCUGUGAGGCAUGCUGGAGGUAUCAGAAGUGCGAAUGCUGACAUAAGUAACGAUAAAGCGGGUGAAAAGCCCGCUCGCCGGAAGACCAAGGGUUCCUGUCCAACGUUAAUCGGGGCAGGGUGAGUCGACCCCUAAGGCGAGGCCGAAAGGCGUAGUCGAUGGGAAACAGGUUAAUAUUCCUGUACUUGGUGUUACUGCGAAGGGGGGACGGAGAAGGCUAUGUUGGCCGGGCGACGGUUGUCCCGGUUUAAGCGUGUAGGCUGGUUUUCCAGGCAAAUCCGGAAAAUCAAGGCUGAGGCGUGAUGACGAGGCACUACGGUGCUGAAGCAACAAAUGCCCUGCUUCCAGGAAAAGCCUCUAAGCAUCAGGUAACAUCAAAUCGUACCCCAAACCGACACAGGUGGUCAGGUAGAGAAUACCAAGGCGCUUGAGAGAACUCGGGUGAAGGAACUAGGCAAAAUGGUGCCGUAACUUCGGGAGAAGGCACGCUGAUAUGUAGGUGAAGUCCCUCGCGGAUGGAGCUGAAAUCAGUCGAAGAUACCAGCUGGCUGCAACUGUUUAUUAAAAACACAGCACUGUGCAAACACGAAAGUGGACGUAUACGGUGUGACGCCUGCCCGGUGCCGGAAGGUUAAUUGAUGGGGUCAGCGCAAGCGAAGCUCUUGAUCGAAGCCCCGGUAAACGGCGGCCGUAACUAUAACGGUCCUAAGGUAGCGAAAUUCCUUGUCGGGUAAGUUCCGACCUGCACGAAUGGCGUAAUGAUGGCCAGGCUGUCUCCACCCGAGACUCAGUGAAAUUGAACUCGCUGUGAAGAUGCAGUGUACCCGCGGCAAGACGGAAAGACCCCGUGAACCUUUACUAUAGCUUGACACUGAACAUUGAGCCUUGAUGUGUAGGAUAGGUGGGAGGCUUUGAAGUGUGGACGCCAGUCUGCAUGGAGCCGACCUUGAAAUACCACCCUUUAAUGUUUGAUGUUCUAACGUUGACCCGUAAUCCGGGUUGCGGACAGUGUCUGGUGGGUAGUUUGACUGGGGCGGUCUCCUCCUAAAGAGUAACGGAGGAGCACGAAGGUUGGCUAAUCCUGGUCGGACAUCAGGAGGUUAGUGCAAUGGCAUAAGCCAGCUUGACUGCGAGCGUGACGGCGCGAGCAGGUGCGAAAGCAGGUCAUAGUGAUCCGGUGGUUCUGAAUGGAAGGGCCAUCGCUCAACGGAUAAAAGGUACUCCGGGGAUAACAGGCUGAUACCGCCCAAGAGUUCAUAUCGACGGCGGUGUUUGGCACCUCGAUGUCGGCUCAUCACAUCCUGGGGCUGAAGUAGGUCCCAAGGGUAUGGCUGUUCGCCAUUUAAAGUGGUACGCGAGCUGGGUUUAGAACGUCGUGAGACAGUUCGGUCCCUAUCUGCCGUGGGCGCUGGAGAACUGAGGGGGGCUGCUCCUAGUACGAGAGGACCGGAGUGGACGCAUCACUGGUGUUCGGGUUGUCAUGCCAAUGGCACUGCCCGGUAGCUAAAUGCGGAAGAGAUAAGUGCUGAAAGCAUCUAAGCACGAAACUUGCCCCGAGAUGAGUUCUCCCUGACUCCUUGAGAGUCCUGAAGGAACGUUGAAGACGACGACGUUGAUAGGCCGGGUGUGUAAGCGCAGCGAUGCGUUGAGCUAACCGGUACUAAUGAACCGUGAGGCUUAACCUUACAACGCCGAAGCUGUU